Molecule: ribosomal RNA, 510 nt
Filed under: uncultured bacterium
Lineage: Bacteria
Description: partial 16S ribosomal RNA
Rfam family: Bacterial small subunit ribosomal RNA
Source: RNAcentral
GACGAACGCUGGCGGCGUGCUUAACACAUGCAAGUCGAACGAAGAGCGAUGGAAGCUUGCUUCUAUCAAUCUUAGUGGCGAACGGGUGAGUAACGCGUAAUCAACCUGCCCUUCAGAGGGGGACAACAGUUGGAAACGACUGCUAAUACCGCAUACGAUCUAAACUCGGCAUCGAGGAUAGAUGAAAGGUGGCCUCUACAUGUAAGCUAUCACUGAAGGAGGGGAAUGGGUCUGAUUAGCUAGUUGGAGGGGUAACGGCCCACCAAGGCGAUGAUCAGUAGCCGGUCUGAGAGGAUGAACGGCCACAUUGGGACUGAGACACGGCCCAGACUCCUACGGGAGGCAGCAGUGGGGAAUCUUCCGCAAUGGACGAAAGUCUGACGGAGCAACGCCGCGUGAGUGAUGACGGCCUUCGGGUUGUAAAGCUCUGUUAAUCGGGACGAAAGGCCUUCUUGCGAAUAGUGAGAAGGAUUGACGGUACCGGAAUAGAAAGCCACGGCUAACUACGUG